AGUAUGUGAAUUGCAGAAUUCAGUGAAUCAUCGAAUCUUUGAACGCACCUUGCGCCCCUUGGUAUUCCGAGGGGCACGCCUGUUUGAGUGUCGUGAAAUUCUCAACCC
RNAcentral lists this ribosomal RNA (108 nucleotides) under Gloeocystidiellum porosum. RNAcentral describes it as "partial 5.8S ribosomal RNA". The stretch from base 1 to 93 matches the Rfam family "5.8S ribosomal RNA", at positions 58 to 154 of the family's 154-position model. From Rfam's summary of the family: 5.8S ribosomal RNA (5.8S rRNA) is a component of the large subunit of the eukaryotic ribosome. It is transcribed by RNA polymerase I as part of the 45S precursor that also contains 18S and 28S rRNA. Functionally, it is thought that 5.8S rRNA may be involved in ribosome translocation. The record is from RNAcentral. Lineage: Eukaryota; Fungi; Basidiomycota; Agaricomycetes; Russulales; Gloeocystidiellaceae.